CUUAACACAUGCAAGUCGAGCGGUAAGGCCUUUCGGGGUACACGAGCGGCGAACGGGUGAGUAACACGUGGGUGAUCUGCCCUGCACUUCGGGAUAAGCCUGGGAAACUGGGUCUAAUACCGGAUAUGACUUCAGGUCGCAUGACUUGGGGUGGAAAGAUUUAUCGGUGCAGGAUGGGCCCGCGGCCUAUCAGCUUGUUGGUGGGGUAAUGGCCUACCAAGGCGACGACGGGUAGCCGACCUGAGAGGGUGACCGGCCACACUGGGACUGAGACACGGCCCAGACUCCUACGGGAGGCAGCAGUGGGGAAUAUUGCACAAUGGGCGAAAGCCUGAUGCAGCGACGCCGCG
This 350-nucleotide ribosomal RNA is filed under the name Rhodococcus erythropolis. RNAcentral's name for it is "bacterial SSU rRNA". It matches the Rfam family "Bacterial small subunit ribosomal RNA", at positions 47 to 401 of the family's 1533-position model. Lineage: Bacteria; Bacillati; Actinomycetota; Actinomycetes; Mycobacteriales; Nocardiaceae. The record is from RNAcentral.